RNAcentral lists this ribosomal RNA (301 nucleotides) under uncultured bacterium. RNAcentral describes it as "partial 16S ribosomal RNA". It matches the Rfam family "Bacterial small subunit ribosomal RNA", at positions 512 to 810 of the family's 1533-position model. The record is from RNAcentral.
CAGCCACGGGAAUACGAAGGGUGCAAGCGUUACUCGGAAUUACUGGGCGUAAAGCGUGCGUAGGUGGUGGUUUAAGUCCGUUGUGAAAGCCCUGGGCUCAACCUGGGAAUUGCAGUGGAUACUGGGUCACUAGAGUGUGGUAGAGGAUAGUGGAAUUUCCGGUGUAGCAGUGAAAUGCGUAGAGAUCGGAAGGAACAUCUGUGGCGAAGGCGACUAUCUGGGCCAACACUGACACUGAGGCACGAAAGCGUGGGGAGCAAACAGGAUUAGAUACCCCCGUAGUCCCUGUCUCUUAUACACA